CAGAAGUGAAAUUCCAAAUCUCGCUUGAGGAAGAAGGUUAAGCAGAGAUCUCAUCUAUUCUCUGAAAAGUAUAGUUGGAUUAUAUAAGUAUAUAUGGGACCAAGUAUGUGAUGGUGAUUAUUGUCAGCUGAUAUUCUUGAAGAGGCAGAAGACGUGCAUAUUUCAGAGUGCUGAGGUCUGCUUUCUACCUGGAGCUCCAUGGAGGCUGCAAACUGAUGGAUCUCUCUAAAGGUCUCCAGCAUGUUUUAUUCUGCUUGCUGAGAAGUAGCAGCAAUUGGCAGAUGCUGCUGCUAGGCUAAGCAAAAAAUGCUUACACCUUUGUACUCAAAAGUGAAACUGAUAACUGUCCCUUGUUUUGUCUGUCUGAAGAACAUGAAGUCCUUCUGAUGGACACUCCGAAAAGAUUUGUUUUGAUGAAAACAAGGGAGUCAAGUUCAUUGCAAUAUUUCAUUGCUUGUGGUGUUUCACUGGAUGUGCCAACUGAAAUACAGAAUCUCAAGCUGGGAAGGACCAAUAGGCUCACAGGGCAAUGACAGAACUGAGCCAAGCUGAGCUGAAAAUAAUUCCCUGGAUUUUUCAACCCUGUGAAGAAGAAGGAUUAGAAAUAUGAUGCCCUGCCGAAUUCAGUUACAAAGAGAUUAGAAGGAAGACAUCCUGCUGAACUCUCUUACAAAGAGGUUGUGACAGUAGCAACCGGGAAGAAGAGCUUUAAACAAAAUGCUAAAAUAAUGAAGCUCCUACCCUUCACUGUACAGUGUGAGGCAGAUACCUGACCUGGCUCUGAGCAAGCGCUACUGUGCUUCCACUGCAUAUAGCAAUACAGGAAUGUUCCUGGUGGGCAUUGACCCAAGCAGAGCCAGUAUUUACAUGGCUGUACUGCAUCUGCUUUCACCUCCAAAUUGGUUUUCUCCCUCCACCACAGCAUUAAAUUGCG
Molecule: long non-coding RNA, 934 nt
Filed under: Numida meleagris (helmeted guineafowl)
Lineage: Eukaryota; Metazoa; Chordata; Aves; Galliformes; Numididae
Description: lncRNA (ENSNMEG00000002009.1)
Source: RNAcentral